GACGAACGCUGGCGGCGUGCUUAACACAUGCAAGUCGUACGGUAAGGCCCUUUCGGGGGUCCACGAGUGGCGCACGGGUGAGUAACACGUGAGUAACCUGCCCACAACUUUGGGAUAACGCUAGGAAACUGGUGCUAAUACUGGAUAUGUGCUCCUGCUGCAUGGUGGGGGUUGGAAAGCUCCGGCGGUUGUGGAUGGACUCGCGGCCUAUCAGCUUGUUGGUGGGGUAGUGGCCUACCAAGGCGGCGACGGGUAGCCGGCCUGAGAGGGUGACCGGCCACAUUGGGACUGAGAUACGGCCCAGACUCCUACGGGAGGCAGCAGUGGGGAAUAUUGCACAAUGGGCGCAAGCCUGAUGCAGCAACGCCGCGGGCGGGAUGACGGCCUUCGGGUUGGAAACCGCUUUCAGCAGGGACGAAGCUUUUUGUGACGGUACCUGCAGAAGAAGCACCGGCUAACUACGUG
Molecule: ribosomal RNA, 465 nt
Filed under: uncultured bacterium
Lineage: Bacteria
Description: partial 16S ribosomal RNA
Rfam family: Bacterial small subunit ribosomal RNA
Source: RNAcentral